Long non-coding RNA from Melitaea cinxia (Glanville fritillary), 412 nucleotides. RefSeq lists it as uncharacterized. Lineage: Eukaryota; Metazoa; Arthropoda; Insecta; Lepidoptera; Nymphalidae. The record is from RefSeq and is a predicted model, not a curated record. The transcript has 2 exons.
ACGGCUAUAUAACACACUGCUAAGAGAUUGAUGAGUUUUUACAUACUUUCUCUUAACAAGCUAUUGAACGUUUUUUUUUCUUACCAAUGAGUCCAACGGCUGAUCCAGCGGUAUGCCAGCGUCUUUCUUCGCAGCGUGGAGCAUAUCGAUGAUUCGGUUAGCACAUUCUUCAAUACCCAGCGCCCAGUGAUUGGUCCCCGGUCCUUUGGCUUUGCCCACGACUGUACCUGUACUGUCGCAGAUCACCAGAUUUGACUGCGUCGCUCCACUGCAAACAUAUUUUACACCGUAUAAUUUUUAAUCUUUUAGAAACUAAAAACAUAAUUGUAAUAUUAAUUGUAUUAUAAAUUGUAACAAAGUAACGCGUUCUAAUCUUAUAACCAAGUUUGGAAAUAAAUAAUAAAUAAAUAAA